UACGGAAGGCAGCAGUGGGGAAUAUUGCACAAUGGGCGCAAGCCUGAUGCAGCCAUGCCGCGUGUAUGAAGAAGGCCUUCGGGUUGUAAAGUACUUUCAGUCGUGAGGAAGGUGUUAAGGUUAAUAACCUUAGCAAUUGACGUUAGCGACAGAAGAAGCACCGGCUAACUCCGUGCCAGCAGCCGCGGUAAUACGGAGGGUGCGAGCGUUAAUCGGAAUUACUGGGCGUAAAGGGCACGCAGGCGGUUAAUUAAGUUGGAUGUGAAAUCCCCGGGCUUAACCUGGGAAUGGCAUUCAAGACUGGUUAGCUAGAGUCUUGUAGAGGGGGUAGAAUUCCAUGUGUAGCGGUGAAAUGCGUAGAGAUGUGGAGGAAUACCGGUGGCGAAGGCGGCCCCUGGACAAAGACUGACUCUCAUGUGCGAAAGCGUGGGGAGCAAACAGGGAUUAGAUACC
RNAcentral lists this ribosomal RNA (453 nucleotides) under uncultured bacterium. RNAcentral describes it as "bacterial SSU rRNA". It matches the Rfam family "Bacterial small subunit ribosomal RNA", at positions 340 to 786 of the family's 1533-position model. The record is from RNAcentral.